RNAcentral lists this ribosomal RNA (254 nucleotides) under uncultured Methanolinea sp. RNAcentral describes it as "partial 16S ribosomal RNA". It matches the Rfam family "Archaeal small subunit ribosomal RNA", at positions 1088 to 1338 of the family's 1478-position model. Lineage: Archaea; Methanobacteriati; Methanobacteriota; Methanomicrobia; Methanomicrobiales; Methanoregulaceae. The record is from RNAcentral.
UGGGGACACUGUUGGGGCCGCCUCUGGCUAAAGACGGAGGAAGGAAUGGGCAACGGUAGGUCAGCAUGCCCCGAAUUAGUCCGGGCUACACGCGGGCUACAAUGGUCAGGACAAUGGGUAUCGACACCGAGAGGUGGAGGCAAUCUCCUAAACCUGUCCUUAGUUCGGAUUGUGGGCUGCAACUCGCCCACAUGAAGCUGGAAUCCGUAGUAAUCGCGUUUCAAAAUAGCGCGGUGAAUAUGUCCCUGCUCCUU